This 58-nucleotide microRNA precursor is filed under the name Canis lupus familiaris (dog). Its description in RNAcentral is "miRNA (ENSCAFG00845029596.1)". Lineage: Eukaryota; Metazoa; Chordata; Mammalia; Carnivora; Canidae. The record is from RNAcentral.
ACAGGCACAGCCGCUUUGAGCAUUUUCACUGAAUUGCCAAACCAGUUGUGCCUGUAGA